This 174-nucleotide ribosomal RNA is filed under the name uncultured bacterium. Its description in RNAcentral is "partial 16S ribosomal RNA". It matches the Rfam family "Bacterial small subunit ribosomal RNA", at positions 338 to 524 of the family's 1533-position model. The record is from RNAcentral.
CCUAGGGGAGGCAGCAGUAGGGAAUAUUGGGCAAUGGAGGAAACUCUGACCCAGCGACGCCGCGUGAGGGAUGAAGGCCUUCGGGUUGUAAACCUCUUUCAGCAGGGACGAAGCGAAAGUGACGGUACCUGCAGAAGAAGCACCGGCUAACUAUGUGCCAGCAGCCGCGGUAAU